GGGUCCGGGUUCCAGGUGGAGAGAGAGCUGUUGUACUGGGUGGUGUCGCGUAUCGCCGUACCUCGUGUGAGAUGAAUGGUGUCUCAGAACCAUAGCCCACACCUGUGUUGAUUAGAAUUGAGAGUUUACAUCCUGGUCUCCGGGAUUCUUCUUAGUAACUCCUCUGUCCACACUCCAGGUCCACUUCAGCACCAAAAUGCAUAUACACUGUCAUCUUCGUGCUCUAUCUCGGACCACAGAGACUGAGCGCCUGCUAGUCUAACAUAGUUUCAGAAAAAACCCUGCUUUCAGAGGAACUUCAAAUUAUAUUUGUCUGUGUGUGAUCCAAGAGCCAAAGACAGAUUAAAUGAUUCCAGUGGACAUACUGCUCUGAUUAUGAGCUACAUCCAACCCCUGGCAGCAUGCAUCAUUGCCUUGGAAAAUAUGUCACAGCAAUUAUAUCCUUAUUCCUCUUGAGCUUCUUCCUCCGUGAGAAAAUCCAAAAUGCUGAAUAUAAACUUCUGUUGAAGGAAAAGGAGGACAUAGCUUGGAAAUAGCUGUCAAACAAAUCAACUCUGAAAGCAAGAACCAUCUGUGAACCUUCAAGGAGAUGCAGAGAGACUCCCAUCUUCUCCAGCAGGCUAGCUACCAAUCCCUGGCUGGAGCCUGUCCCCAGGAAAAGAGACUGCUGACCGUGGGGAUUGCCUCAAUGCAGCAUCCUCGUGGGAGCUACCUCUUGGACAACCUGCAGUCCAUGUUCCAAGCUUCCUCAUAACGUGAGCUGGAGUAUAUCGUGGUGCUGGUCCACCUGUCAGGUCCUGACCCUGAAUGGCUUGGCCAAACAGCUGCCACUAUUUCAGGUCUCUUCACACCACAGAUUAGGGCCGGGAAGCUGCUGGUGAUCAAUCAUAGCUCCCCUCUCCCAGGAGAUCUGAGUGACGUUAAUCACUCAUCACUCUGUGAAGCCCUCUAUUCCAGACAGAAAGUAGAUCAUGCCCUCCUCAUGAACUUUGCUAGCAACCUCUCUGAUUACUUUCUUUUGUUGGAAGAUCAUAUUCAUUGCACCCCCAAAUUCGCUGCUGCCAUCUCUUCGGCCUUAUCAGCCUGGAAAGAACUACCUUGGGUGAUCCUGGAGUUCUCCCACCUGAGCAUCUCUGGGAAAGUUUUCUGCACCAGUGACUUCUCCCGCCUGAACACUUUUUUCCUCCUCUUCCAUAAGGACACUCCUACUCACUUGCUUCUCUCUGAAUUUCGUCUUCUCUUGGCCCAGAAUAUUCCUAUUCAUUUCAGUCCCUCUGUCUUCCACCACACAGGCAAUUAUUCUGUGUUUGAUGACAUGUGCUUUUCUGUGGAGAAGGACAGGGUCUUUGGUGAACCAGACAACCCUGUUGCAACUGUCCUUACUGACAUGGUAUCAAUGUUGGCUGUGAUUCUACAAUACACUUAUACACUGAACAAGGAGGGCUACUCUACCUUAAAUCCUUUAAAAGGAAACUACUUGACAGUGAUUCUGGACAGGCCACAAAAAAACACCCAGAUAGCAGUCGGGAGGUACCGACUGCAGCAGGGGCAAGUGGAACCGGGCUAUGACCCCCAGGAGGAUCCCAAAAGCUGUGCUCGCUAUGCCCUGCUAGGGCCACUGGUGGGAGGAAAUUUGGACCAGGUAGUAUUUUCUGAAGAAGAGUCUGUGGAACAGUUGAAUUGUAUCCGGCUGCUGGUGUUGGCAUCUCAAGAGUCUUGACUCCUGAUCAAGCAGAUCAAAGUCUGGACUGAGCCUGAGGAAGAGGAGAGAUAGAGGGCACAAUGGGGAUUCUGGAAGAAUUGGGUCUGAGAAUGGAAUCUACAUGGUUGGGAAGAAAUAAACUCAGGCACCGAUCAAAAGCUACUCAUUUUA
This is an RNA transcript of Homo sapiens (human), 1873 nucleotides long. It is a transcript of the gene named MGAT4 family member F, pseudogene, with no coding region annotated. NCBI's taxonomy places the organism in Eukaryota, Metazoa, Chordata, Mammalia, Primates, Hominidae. The record is from RefSeq and is marked validated. The transcript has 5 exons.